GAAAUGCGAUAAGUAAUGUGAAUUGCAGAAUUCAGUGAAUCAUCGAAUCUUUGAACGCAUAUUGCGCCCCUUGGUAUUCCGAGGGGCAUGCCUUUUCGAGCGUCAUUACAACCGUCAAGCUCUGCUUGGUAUUGGGCCUCUGUCUCCACGUGGGCGGGCCUCAAAGUCAUCAGCGGCUGAGAGAACGGCAUUCUAGCGUAGUAGAAAUUAACUCGCUGGGGACCGACCUCAGGUAGCUGUCAAACACGCGCCUUCGCGCAAAUCUAAGGUUGACCUCGGAUAAGGUAGGGAUACCCGCUGAACUUAA
This 307-nucleotide unclassified non-coding RNA is filed under the name uncultured Dothideomycetes. RNAcentral describes it as "sequence contains ITS1". The stretch from base 1 to 105 matches the Rfam family "5.8S ribosomal RNA", at positions 50 to 154 of the family's 154-position model. The record is from RNAcentral. Lineage: Eukaryota; Fungi; Ascomycota; Dothideomycetes.